RNAcentral lists this ribosomal RNA (510 nucleotides) under Cyclophorus pfeifferi. RNAcentral's name for it is "partial 16S ribosomal RNA". It matches the Rfam family "Bacterial large subunit ribosomal RNA", at positions 1823 to 2597 of the family's 2925-position model. Lineage: Eukaryota; Metazoa; Mollusca; Gastropoda; Architaenioglossa; Cyclophoridae. The record is from RNAcentral.
AUGUCUCUUUGAAAAAAUAAUAUAGGGAGUCUGGCCUGCCCGGUGACGUAGUUUAACGGCUGCAGUAUCCUGACUGUGCAAAGGUAGCAUAAUAACUUGCCUUUUAAUUGGAGGAUAGAAUCAAUGGCUUGACGAGAGCAAAGCUGUCUUUUUUGUUUUUAUUAGAAUUUAUUUUUUAAGUUAAAAAGCUUAAAUAUAAUUAAAAGACGAUAAGACCCUAUUGAGCUUUAAAGGAAUAAAGUGGUUAUUUAUUAUUAAUAAGAUUGAUAACAAAUUUAAAAAAUUUUGGUUGGGGCGACCGCGGAGUAUAGAAAACCUCCGGACUAGAAAAUUAAUUUCUGUUUUUGAUCCACAAUUUGUGAUAAGUGGAAUUAGUUACCAUAGGGAUAACAGCGCACUGUUCUUAGGGAGAUCAUAUUUCUAAGGAAGAUCGCGACCUCGAUGUUGGAUUAAGGCAUACUAGAAGGCGCAGAAGCUUUUUAAGUUAGUCUGUUCGACUAUUAAAUCCUU